This 778-nucleotide ribosomal RNA is filed under the name uncultured Neocallimastigales. RNAcentral describes it as "partial large subunit ribosomal RNA". It matches the Rfam family "Eukaryotic large subunit ribosomal RNA", at positions 25 to 614 of the family's 3401-position model. The record is from RNAcentral. Lineage: Eukaryota; Fungi; Neocallimastigomycota; Neocallimastigomycetes; Neocallimastigales.
UCGUCUAUAUACGUAUAGCAUAUCAAUAAGCGGAGGAAAAGAAACUAACAAGGAUUCCCUUAGUAACGGCGAGUGAAGCGGGAAGAGCUCAAAUUUGAAAUCUUCAAGGUUCUACCUUGACGAAUUGUAGUUUAAAGAAGUGUUUUCUGUUAGAGGAGUAGCAAAAGUUCCUCGGAAUGGGACAUCAUAGAGGGUGAGAAUCCCGUAUUUGGUUAUUCUUUCUAGCUUUGUGAUACACUUUCAAAGAGUCGGAUUGUUUGGGAAUGCAGUCCAAAGAUGGGUGGUAAAUUUCAUCUAAAGCUAAAUAUUGGCGAGAGACCGAUAGCGAACAAGUACCGUGAGGGAAAGAUGAAAAGAACUUUGAAAAGAGAGUUAAACAGUACGUGAAAUUGUCAAAAGGGAAGCGUUUGACACCAGUGUUGUUUUUCCGAAAAUCAAUUAAGAACGGCUUGAUUUUGUGUUGUAUUGACCUUAUCAGCUUUCUUCACUCUUUUUCGAGUCUUUCUUAAUGCACUUUUCGGUUAACAAGUCAACAUCAAUUUCUUUUGUUGUAAAAGGGUAUUUGGAAGGUGGCUUUCUUUUCGGAGAAAGUGUUUAUAGCCUUAUACCUCUACAAUCGGAGAGAUUGAGGUCUGCAGCGUAGAUCCUUCGGGGCUAGAUACAUCUUGUGCUAAGUUAUAGCUUUUCAUAGACAACUUGUUGACUAUGUUUAGUCAUGUAGCUUACUCGCUGAUGCUAUUUUACCUACGCUUAGGAUGUUGAGUCAUCACACAUCUCU